RNAcentral lists this ribosomal RNA (405 nucleotides) under uncultured prokaryote. RNAcentral describes it as "bacterial SSU rRNA". It matches the Rfam family "Bacterial small subunit ribosomal RNA", at positions 355 to 774 of the family's 1533-position model. The record is from RNAcentral.
UGGGGAAUAUUGGGCAAUGGGCGCAAGCCUGACCCAGCAACGCCGCGUGAGGGAAGAAGGUCUUCGGAUUGUAAACCUCUGUCCUUGGGGACGAAAAAAAUGACGGUACCCAAGGAGGAAGCUCCGGCUCACUACGUGCCAGCAGCCGCGGUAAUCCGUAGGGAGCGAGCGUUGUCCGGAAUUACUGGGCGUAAAGGGUGCGUAGGCGGCAUGGCAAGUCAGAUGUGAAAUCCCCGGGCUUAACUCGGGAGUUGCAUUUGAAACUGCUGUGCUUGAGUGCAGGAGAGGAAAGCGGAAUUCCUAGUGUAGCGGUGAAAUGCGUAGAUAUUAGGAGGAACACCAGUGGCGAAGGCGGCUUUCUGGACUGUAACUGACGCUGAGGCACGAAAGCGUGGGGAGCAAACA